GGCGGCGUGCCUAAUACAUGCAAGUCGAGCGAAUGAUGAGGAGCUUGCUCCUCUGAUUUAGCGGCGGACGGGUGAGUAACACGUGGGUAAUCUGCCUGUAAGACGGGGAUAACUCCGGGAAACCGGGGCUAAUACCGGAUAAUAAGAGAAGAAGCAUUUCUUCUUUUUGAAAGUCGGUUUCGGCUGACACUUACAGAUGAGCCCGCGGCGCAUUAGCUAGUUGGUGAGGUAACGGCUCACCAAGGCGACGAUGCGUAGCCGACCUGAGAGGGUGAUCGGCCACACUGGGACUGAGACACGGCCCAGACUCCUACGGGAGGCAGCAGUAGGGAAUCUUCGGCAAUGGGCGAAAGCCUGACCGAGCAACGCCGCGUGAGCGAUGAAGGCCUUCGGGUCGUAAAGCUCUGUUGUUAGAGAAGAACAAGUACGAGAGUAACUGCUCGUACCUUGACGGUACCUAACCAGAAAGCCACGGCUAACUACGU
This 485-nucleotide ribosomal RNA is filed under the name uncultured bacterium. RNAcentral's name for it is "bacterial SSU rRNA". It matches the Rfam family "Bacterial small subunit ribosomal RNA", at positions 38 to 506 of the family's 1533-position model. The record is from RNAcentral.